CCAGGCGGCCGGGCGACCGCGGCUCUCUCACGAGGGGCGAGGAAAGUCCGGGCUCCACGAAACGAAGGUGCCGGGUAACGCCCGGCGGGGUCUCGCCCGAGGAAACUCGGGGGAUGGCUUCAGGGACAGUGCCACAGAAAGCAUACCGCCGGUCCUCGGGUCGGUAAGGGAGAAAGGGUGCGGCAAGAGCGCACCGCGGCUUCGGUAACGCGGCCGGCAUGGCAAACCCCACCUGGUGCAAGACCGAAUAGGGGUGGCACAUGGGCCUGUUUCGGCUCGUCACCCGGGUUGGUCGCUUGAGGCGCGGGGCAAUCCGCGUCCUAGAGGAAUGGUCGCCCAGGUGCCGCGAGGCACUGGACAGAACCCGGCUUACAGGCCGCCUGGUGUU
Molecule: RNase P RNA, 388 nt
Filed under: Pseudomonadota bacterium
Lineage: Bacteria; Pseudomonadati; Pseudomonadota
Description: RNase P RNA component class A
Rfam family: Bacterial RNase P class A
About the family: Ribonuclease P (RNase P) is a ubiquitous endoribonuclease, found in archaea, bacteria and eukarya as well as chloroplasts and mitochondria. Its best characterised activity is the generation of mature 5'-ends of tRNAs by cleaving the 5'-leader elements of precursor-tRNAs.
Source: RNAcentral